Molecule: non-coding RNA, 491 nt
Organism: Cherax quadricarinatus
Lineage: Eukaryota; Metazoa; Arthropoda; Malacostraca; Decapoda; Parastacidae
Source: RefSeq, a predicted model, not a curated record
UUCAUUCUGGCAGGAGUUCGAGUCCCAGUCCACACCUCUGAUGUCAUGACACGUGAACUGACUCAUCCAGAUCCCAAUACAAGACUUAAUGCAAUUCUCAGGUUUCAAGUGUUGUGGCAAUCACGAUACCAAACCUGGCCACGGAUGGAAGAGGGAGCUCAACUCACUUUUAAGUUCCACCUCAUGGGAUAGAAUUCACACUUCCAUCCCCCAAGAUAGGCGUGGAGUCUCUGCCAGUGGUAGACCCUCCAUGGAUGCCCUACUUCAAGACUAAUGGGAUGAAGUCACAGUCAACCAGAUCCAGCAUAGGUCAUUUGUGACUGCAACAAGAACCAGACGAAAACUGCAAGCAGAGAUGGUUCGAUCUGCCUUAGAAGCAGAAGAGAAGAAACGCCGAAUUGAGAGAGAGAAUUUUUUGCUGACAACUGUUCCAGUUACUAUUCAGGCAGCUUAUGAACCAGCACUUCACCAUGUAUCAGCUGAUGACCACG